UUUUCUCCUUCCUUCCCCCUCCCAUCAAUUGUUUCCUUGUGCGUUCACACUGCACCUCUCUUUCUCGUUCUAAUAUCGAUUAAAAUGCCCUUGCUUCUUGACUCACAUUUGCGUAUAAACCAACAGACCCUAGUUCCAGUCGCGCGUAACGUCGAACGACCCGUCUGAAAAAAAUUGGUGCGACACGAGGACUUCCUAAGA
RNAcentral lists this long non-coding RNA (201 nucleotides) under Carica papaya (papaya). RNAcentral describes it as "long non-coding RNA (CPAP_LNC014630)". Lineage: Eukaryota; Viridiplantae; Streptophyta; Magnoliopsida; Brassicales; Caricaceae. The record is from RNAcentral.